CUCAGCUGGGCUCAUCGUCACCUUCAUGUUCUCUUCCUCCUUUGCCGCUACCACAGCUUUAUUGGUUUAGUAUGAAUCACCUCCGUAAAGCCGGGUCCUUUAUGAAUGGAAUAUAAUGGAAUGGACUUACAAUGGAGGGACACAAUUAUUCAUUGUUGUUUCAAAGAUGAACUACCAUCUUACUGGUUUGGAAUGUCAUGAGGGGUCAGAAAGCUCUUGGAUUUCAUCAAAAAUAUCUUAAUUUGUGUUCUGAAGAUGAACAAAGGUCUUAUGGGUUUGGAACGACAUGAGGAAAAUCACAUCUAUAACUGCAGAAAAAGGCAGACACAUAUGCCUGCUGCAACAAGUCAGAGAAACAAGUCCAGCUACUUUGCAUGUUUAGUAUGGAUCCCUGUUAGCUGUACGUGUGAAGUUAUAAAUAAAUGGGAAUGAAAUGACAA
Molecule: long non-coding RNA, 440 nt
Organism: Labeo rohita (rohu)
Lineage: Eukaryota; Metazoa; Chordata; Actinopteri; Cypriniformes; Cyprinidae
Exons: 4
Source: RefSeq, a predicted model, not a curated record